GAUGACUUAGCUCAAUGGUUUAGAGCAGUAUCCUGAUACGGUACAGGUUAAAGGUCCGAGUCCUUUAGUCAUCA
RNAcentral lists this transfer RNA (74 nucleotides) under Chitinophagaceae bacterium. RNAcentral's name for it is "tRNA-Ile". It matches the Rfam family "tRNA". Rfam says of the family: Transfer RNA (tRNA) molecules are approximately 80 nucleotides in length. Their secondary structure includes four short double-helical elements and three loops (D, anti-codon, and T loops). Lineage: Bacteria; Pseudomonadati; Bacteroidota; Chitinophagia; Chitinophagales; Chitinophagaceae. The record is from RNAcentral.